Molecule: ribosomal RNA, 405 nt
Filed under: uncultured bacterium
Lineage: Bacteria
Description: bacterial SSU rRNA
Rfam family: Bacterial small subunit ribosomal RNA
Source: RNAcentral
UGGGGAAUAUUGGGCAAUGGAGGGAACUCUGACCCAGCAACGCCGCGUGAAGGAUGAAGGUUUUCGGAUUGUAAACUUCUGUCGCAGGGGACGAAGAAUGACGGUACCCUGUAAGAAAGCCCCGGCAAACUACGUGCCAGCAGCCGCGGUAAUACGUAGGGGGCAAGCGUUGUCCGGAAUGACUGGGCGUAAAGGGAGUGUAGGCGGCUUUUUAAGUUACAUGUGAAAUCCCACGGCUUAACCGUGGAACUGCAUGUAAAACUGGAGGGCUGGAGUGCAGGAGAGGUAAGUGGAAUUCCUAGUGUAGCGGUGGAAUGCGUAGAUAUUAGGAGGAACACCAGUGGCGAAGGCGACUUACUGGACUGUAACUGACGCUGAGGCUCGAAAGCGUGGGUAGCAAACAGG